This 301-nucleotide ribosomal RNA is filed under the name uncultured bacterium. RNAcentral describes it as "partial 16S ribosomal RNA". It matches the Rfam family "Bacterial small subunit ribosomal RNA", at positions 509 to 807 of the family's 1533-position model. The record is from RNAcentral.
CAGUAGCCGCGGUAAUACGAGGGGGGCAAGCGUUGUUCGGAAUUAUUGGGCGUAAAGGGUGCGUAGGCGGUUUGAUAAGUCUUGUGUGAAAUCUAUGGGCUCAACCCAUAGUCUGCACAGGAAACUGUCGGGCUUGAGUAUUGGAGAGGUGAGUGGAAUUUCCGGUGUAGUGGUGAAAUGCGUAGAUAUCGGAAGGAACACCUGUGGCGAAAGCGGCUCACUGGACAAUUACUGACGCUGAUGCACGAAAGCUAGGGGAGCAAACAGGAUUAGAUACCCGAGUAGUCCCUGUCUCUUAUAC